CGGUCUAUCCUUGCUUCGGUUGAUA
Molecule: microRNA, 25 nt
Filed under: Tribolium castaneum (red flour beetle)
Lineage: Eukaryota; Metazoa; Arthropoda; Insecta; Coleoptera; Tenebrionidae
Description: tca-miR-3836f-5p
Source: miRBase by way of RNAcentral